RNAcentral lists this ribosomal RNA (420 nucleotides) under Trogloneta yunnanense. RNAcentral describes it as "partial large subunit ribosomal RNA". It matches the Rfam family "Bacterial large subunit ribosomal RNA", at positions 1863 to 2615 of the family's 2925-position model. The record is from RNAcentral. Lineage: Eukaryota; Metazoa; Arthropoda; Arachnida; Araneae; Mysmenidae.
UCAAUGAUUUAAAUAGCCGCAGAAAUUUAACUGUGCUAAGGUAGCAUAAUCAUUUGAUUUUUAAUUAAAAUCUAGAAUGAAAGGCUUAACAAUUUAAAUUCUUUUUUAUUUUUAAUCAUUAAAAUUUUAUUAAAAAUAAAAAUAUUUUUAUUUUUUAAAAAGACGACAAGACCCUUUUAAACUUAACUUUAGUUUAACUGGGACAGUUAUUUAAUAAUUAUUUUAAAAUAUUUAUUUUACUAAUAACCUAAUAUUAUUAAAUUAACAAGUUACUAAAGGGAUAACAGCGUAAUUUAUACUUAAAGCUCUUAUUUAAUUAUAAGAUUACGACCUCGAUGUUGAAUUAAAUUCCUUUUUUAAGCAAAAUAAAUAAAAGGAGGUCUGUUCGACCUUUAAAAAUUUACAUGAUUUGAGUUCAAA